GACGUAGGGCGCGAGCGUUGUCCGGAUUUAUUGGGCGUAAAGAGCUCGUAGGCGGCUUGUCGCGUCGUCCGUGAAAGCCCUGGGCGUCAACCCGGGAAUUGCGCUUGAUACUGGUGCGCUUGAAUCCAGGAGAGGUUGGUGGAAUUCCCAGUGUAGAGGUGAAAUUCGUAGAGAUUGGGAAGAACACCGGUGGCGAAGGCGGCCA
This 205-nucleotide ribosomal RNA is filed under the name uncultured bacterium. Its description in RNAcentral is "partial 16S ribosomal RNA". It matches the Rfam family "Bacterial small subunit ribosomal RNA", at positions 524 to 727 of the family's 1533-position model. The record is from RNAcentral.